UACGUAGGUGACCAGCGUUGUCCGGAUUUACUGGGCGUAAAGAGCGCGCAGGCGGUCGUUCAAGUCGAGUGUGAGAGCCCCCGGCUCAACUGGGGAGGGUCAUUCGAUACUGAUCGACUUGAAGGCAGGAGAGGGAAGUGGAAUUCCCGGUGUAGUGGUGAAAUGCGUAGAGAUCCGGAAGAACACCGGUGGCGAAGGCGGUCUGCUGGGGUCGAACUGACGCUGAGGCGCGACAGCGUGGGGAGCAAACAGG
This 253-nucleotide ribosomal RNA is filed under the name uncultured bacterium. RNAcentral's name for it is "partial 16S ribosomal RNA". It matches the Rfam family "Bacterial small subunit ribosomal RNA", at positions 524 to 776 of the family's 1533-position model. The record is from RNAcentral.